RNAcentral lists this ribosomal RNA (497 nucleotides) under uncultured bacterium. Its description in RNAcentral is "partial 16S ribosomal RNA". It matches the Rfam family "Bacterial small subunit ribosomal RNA", at positions 28 to 507 of the family's 1533-position model. The record is from RNAcentral.
GAUGAACGCUGGCGGCGUGCCUAAUACAUGCAAGUCGAGCGAACAGAUGAGGAGCUUGCUCCUCUGACGUUAGCGGCGGACGGGUGAGUAACACGUGGAUAACCUACCUAUAAGACUGGGAUAACUUCGGGAAACCGGAGCUAAUACCGGAUAAUAUAUUGAACCGCAUGGUUCAAUAGUGAAAGACGGUUUUGCUGUCACUUAUAGAUGGAUCCGCGCCGCAUUAGCUAGUUGGUAAGGUAACGGCUUACCAAGGCAACGAUGCGUAGCCGACCUGAGAGGGUGAUCGGCCACACUGGAACUGAGACACGGCCCAGACUCCUACGGGAGGCAGCAGUAGGGAAUCUUCCGCAAUGGGCGGAAGCCUGACGGAGCAACGCCGCGUGAGUGAUGAAGGUCUUCGGAUCGUAAAACUCUGUUAUUAGGGAAGAACAAAUGUGUAAGUAACUAUGCACGUCUUGACGGUACCUAAUCAGAAAGCCACGGCUAACUACGUG